UACGUAGGGGGCGAGCGUUGUCCGAAGUUACUGGGCGUAAAGCGCGCGUAGGCGGGCUGUUAAGUGAGAGGUGAAAGGCUGGGGCUCAACUCCAGCAGUGCCUCUCAUACUGGCAGUCUUGAGGGCGGUAGAGAGAAGUGGAAUGGCUGGUGUAGCAGUGAAAUGCGUAGAGAUCAUGAGGAAGACCAGUGGCGAAGGCGGGUCUCUGGACAGUUCCUGACACUGAGGCACGAAGGCCAGGGGAGCAAACGGG
RNAcentral lists this ribosomal RNA (253 nucleotides) under uncultured bacterium. RNAcentral's name for it is "partial 16S ribosomal RNA". It matches the Rfam family "Bacterial small subunit ribosomal RNA", at positions 524 to 776 of the family's 1533-position model. The record is from RNAcentral.